AGUAGAAUGGCUGAGAAGUGAUUAAGGCUAUAGAUUGUAAAUUUAUUUAGGGAAUAAUCCUUCUACUG
This 68-nucleotide transfer RNA is filed under the name Cryptocercus punctulatus (brown-hooded cockroach). Its description in RNAcentral is "tRNA-Tyr". Lineage: Eukaryota; Metazoa; Arthropoda; Insecta; Blattodea; Cryptocercidae. The record is from RNAcentral.